GAUGAAGAACGCAGCGAAAUGCGAUAAGUAAUGUGAAUUGCAGAACUCAGUGAAUCAUCGAAUCUUUGAACGCACAUUGCGCCCUCUGGUAUUCCGGGGGGCAUGCCUGUUCGAGCGUCAUUAUAACCACUCAAGCUCUCGCUUGGUAUUGGGGUUCGCGGUUUCGCGGCCCCUAAAAUCAGUGGCGGUGCCUGUCGGCUCUACGCGUAGUAAUACUCCUCGCGAUUGAGUCCGGUAGGUCUACUUGCCAGCAACCCCUAAUUUUUUUUAAGGUUGACCUCGGAUCAGGUAGGGAUACCCGCUGAACUUAAGCAUAUCAAUAAGCGGAGGA
This 331-nucleotide unclassified non-coding RNA is filed under the name soil metagenome. RNAcentral's name for it is "partial contains 5.8S ribosomal RNA, internal transcribed spacer 2, and large subunit ribosomal RNA". The stretch from base 1 to 120 matches the Rfam family "5.8S ribosomal RNA", at positions 35 to 154 of the family's 154-position model. The record is from RNAcentral.